Molecule: ribosomal RNA, 253 nt
Filed under: uncultured bacterium
Lineage: Bacteria
Description: partial 16S ribosomal RNA
Rfam family: Bacterial small subunit ribosomal RNA
Source: RNAcentral
GACGUAGGGAGCAAGCGUUGUCCGGAAUUACUGGGCGUAAAGAGCUCGUAGGCGGGAGCGUACGUCUGAGAUGAAAUCUCAAGGCUCAACUUUGGGGCUUUCUCAGAUACGGCGCUUCUUGAGUGUAAGAGAGGAAAGCAGAAUUCCCGGUGUAGCGGUGAAAUGCGUAGAUAUCGGGAGGAAUACCAGUGGCGAAGGCGGCUUUCUGGCUUACUACUGACGCUGAGGAGCGAAAGCGUGGGGAGCGAACGGG